UUCCUGCAGGUGCUCCCGGUGCUGGGGAAAUGUCACUGUGAGAAGAAUAGAAAACUUAUUCCAAAGAGUAUUGAAGACUGACUGAAUCAGGUCUGGAACAUUAUUGAAACGGAUAAUUAUGCGUUGAAGAAAAAGGCAUUCAAUGAGGAGCAAAUGGCAAAAGCAAAUGUGUUAAGAUUCUAAAAAUGACUACUAUCCUAGUAAAAAAUGACUACAUUUUAUACUAUGUGCUACACACACACACAUACUCACCUGAUCAGAUGGGCGCUACGGAGUGUGUCUGAAGGCAGCAGGUUUUGCCAAUUGUUCUUAUCCGGUUUCUUCAGUUGACUGACAAAAUACCAAUAAAUGCGCAGUUAGGACGAAAGUGAACUAAACAGAAGUAACGAAACUGAUUUCAUUUGGGGAAAUGUUUUCAAUGGCUGGGACAAUAUUCUGGCCACGGAAAUCCAAGAGCAGGUGUUAAUGCGAGUUCUGGGUUGACCAAGAUCACCGAGCCAGGAAGAGUGACUCUCUUUUCUCUCUGCUGUUCUGGCAACUGUCAUCCUGUAACGAAGCCAUCUUGGGUCAUGGCAGAGUCCGAAAGAGGGAGGUUAUGAGCUGAGAACGGUGAAAGUGACAAUUGAGACACGGAUGCUUCAUGGCUCCACGGACUGUCUGCCACUGACCUGCCUAUCUCUGGAUUCUCU
Long non-coding RNA from Lynx canadensis (Canada lynx), 689 nucleotides. The record is from Ensembl. Lineage: Eukaryota; Metazoa; Chordata; Mammalia; Carnivora; Felidae.